RNAcentral lists this long non-coding RNA (206 nucleotides) under Elaeis guineensis (African oil palm). Its description in RNAcentral is "long non-coding RNA (EGUI_LNC059636)". Lineage: Eukaryota; Viridiplantae; Streptophyta; Magnoliopsida; Arecales; Arecaceae. The record is from RNAcentral.
GAGGUGGUAGAGAAACAUCAACUACUGGCUCGUGGACUAUGGGUUCCUGAUGAUCUAUAGCUCUGGGCUCUUCAGAGACUUUCUCUUCGAGCUCCAUUAACCUUCCAUUGCUGCCAUCCUGGAUAAACUAUUUUUCUAAAAAUAUGAUAAUUUGACUCACAAUCACAUUAUGAUCUUAUGAAAAAUAGAAGUAGUAUCCCAUGGAU